This 832-nucleotide ribosomal RNA is filed under the name uncultured Flavobacteriaceae bacterium. Its description in RNAcentral is "bacterial SSU rRNA". It matches the Rfam family "Bacterial small subunit ribosomal RNA", at positions 73 to 902 of the family's 1533-position model. The record is from RNAcentral. Lineage: Bacteria; Pseudomonadati; Bacteroidota; Flavobacteriia; Flavobacteriales; Flavobacteriaceae.
ACUGUAGCAAUACAGUUGAUGGCGACCGGCAAACGGGUGCGGAACACGUACACAACCUUCCUUUUAGUGGAGAAUAGCCCAGGGAAACUUGGAUUAAUACUCCGUAACAUAUAGAAGUGGCAUCACUUUUAUAUUAUAGCAGCAAUGCGCUAGAAGAUGGGUGUGCGGCUGAUUAGAUAGUUGGCGGGGUAACGGCCCACCAAGUCGACGAUCAGUAACUGGUGUGAGAGCACGACCAGUCACACGGGCACUGAGACACGGGCCCGACUCCUACGGGAGGCAGCAGUAAGGAAUAUUGGUCAAUGGACGCAAGUCUGAACCAGCCAUGCCGCGUGGAGGAUGAAGGUCCUCUGGAUUGUAAACUUCUUUUAUUUGGGAAGAAACCCAUCUUUUCUAAGAUGGUUGACGGUACCAGAUGAAUAAGCACCGGCUAACUCCGUGCCAGCAGCCGCGGUAAUACGGAGGGUGCAAGCGUUAUCCGGAUUCACUGGGUUUAAAGGGUGCGUAGGUGGGCAAGUAAGUCAGUGGUGAAAUCUCCGGGCUUAACCCGGAAACUGCCAUUGAUACUAUUUGUCUUGAAUACUGUGGAGGUCAGCGGAAUAUGUCAUGUAGCGGUGAAAUGCUUAGAUAUGACAUAGAACACCAAUUGCGAAGGCAGCUGGCUACACAAAUAUUGACACUGAGGCACGAAAGCGUGGGGAUCAAACAGGAUUAGAUACCCUGGUAGUCCACGCCCUAAACUAUGGAUACUCGACAUUUGCGAUAAACUGCAAGUGUCUGAGCGAAAGCAUUAAGUAUCCCACCUGGGAAGUACGAUCGCAAGAUUGAACUC